AUAAACAUUACAUAAUAUAUGGGGCUACAUACAUAAGGCAUACAAUGUCACACGAAUACAACAAUACGACAUACAAGAACUACAUCCGACUACGGAUGAAUCAUAAAUAGAAACUCAAACGACAUCCACCCUGCUAGCCCAGGCUGCCGACCUGGAACCUAUCCCCUGAUCGAAGAAGCAGAAGAAGAACUCAACGCAAGCAAACAUCGCUCUCGCGUCAUGAUCAUCGGAUAAACCUGUACCUGCAACUGAUGUUGUAGUAAUCUGUGAGCCAUGAGGACUCAGCAAUCCCAUUACCAUGGGUAUCAAGACUAGCAAAGCUUAAAGGGAAAGGAAGGGGUAAAGUGGUGAGGCUGUAGCAGCGACUAAGCAUAUAUGGUGGCUAACAUACGCAAAUAAGAGCGAGAAGAGAACAAGCGGAACGGUCGUGAAUCUAGCAAUGAUCAAGAAGUGAUCCUGAACCCCUACUUACGUCAAACAUAACACAGAAACCGUGUUCACUUUCCGGACUCCGCCGAGAAGAGACCAUCAUGGCUACACACACGGUUGAUGCGUUUUAAAUUGGAUCAGGUGUCAAGUUAUCUACAACCGGACAUUAACAAAUUCCCAUCUGCCAAUAACCGCAGGCACGGCUUUCGAAAUAUUAUACCCUGCAGGGGUGUCCCAACUUAGCCCAUGAUAAGCUCUCGCGAUCAACGAAGGAAUAGACCUUCUCCCAGGAAGACCCGAUCAGACUCGGAAUCCCGGUUUACAAGACAUUUCGACAAUGGUAAAACAAGACCAGCAAAGCCGCCCGAUGCGCCGACAAUCCCGAUAGGAGCUGCACAUAUCUCAUUCUCAGGGCAACACCGGAUGAGACAUCCUACGAGUAAAACCAAACCUCGAGUUUCCCCGAGGUGGCCCCACAGUCUACUCGGUUCGGACCAACACUUAGACAAGCACUGGCCGGGGGGGGGCUAUAAUAAAGAUGACCCUUGGGUUAAUUACUCCCAAGGGAAAAGUAGGUGGUGGUGAGGCAAAUGGUAAAAGUCAAUGUUGGGCCUUGCUGGAGGAGUUUUAUUCAAAGCGAACUGUCAAGGGGGUCCCAUAAAUCACCCGACCGCCUAAGGAACGCAAAAUCCGGGAACAUAACACCGGUAUGACGGAAACUAGGGCGGCAAGAGUGGAACAAAACACCAGGCAUAAGGCCGAGCCUUCCACCUUUUACCAAAUAUAUAGAUGCAUUAAUAAUAUAAGAGAUAUUGUGAUAUCCCAACAUAAAUCCUGUCCACCAUGGAGAAAUCUUCAACUUCACCUACAACUAGCAACGCUAUAAGAGGGGCUGAGCAGAGCGGUAACAUAGCCAAACAACGGUUUGCAUAGGAAAGGUGUCAAAGGUCAGAGGUUCAUGGCAACAUGAGAUGGCUCGAUAAACAGAUGAUAGGUAGCGCAGCAAAGCGAUAGAACGAAGCAACUAGCAUAGCAAUGAUAGUAUUGAGAUCCAGGGUAGCAGUCAUCUUGCCUGAAAUCCCGCAAGGAAGAAGAACGAGUCCAUGAAGAAGACAAACGGACGUGGUCGAACGAAUCCUCACAACGCCGGAACGAAACCGAAGGCAACCCGGAAAGAAACAAACAACACGGUAAACAACCAUCACAUAAGCAUGGCAUGAUGCACAAUCAAGUAUGAUGCAUGUCCGGUUUAAUGAGGCAUGGAAUGGCAAAGUGCAACAAACAAUACUACAAGUUAAGUGGAGCUCAAUAUGCAACGAGUUGCAUAUUGACAAAACACCACAUUCGAGUUAUUUAGUUCGCUCUCGUUUAGGUACACAACAAUAUUAAAUGUUGUUAAACAUGACAAAAGGUGAAGCAUAAGAAAACUACCUAUCUAGGCAAGUUUAAAUGAGGCCGGAACAACAAACAACAAUUCUGGAAAAUCCUCAUGUUAUUUAGCAACUUAACGCAAACAAUUUUAAACAUUUUAAUUGUUGUUAUCAUGAUGCAGAUGACAUAUGCAUGUUUUAAGCAAUUUUAUGAAAAUAUUGACAUGAGCAUGUUAUGAAGCAUUUGGUCACCAUGGCGGAACAAAAAGGGUGCCAUGGCGGCGAAACGGAAAUGGUGCCACGGCAACAUUCCGGUCCCGGUAACUCGAUUGAGAUACCGAUGCAAGAGAGAAGUGUGCGGAUGAGUGUGUCAUGCAAAAGGAUGGUGGGGUGAUCCUGAUUACCGGGUGUCCCACAUGUCGGUGGCAUGGAAACAAGGAACGCGCAAGCGACAACUCAGACACGGUGCAAACGGUGCAUCUCAUUCAACACAUGCAUUCGUUCACGGGCUUCGUCUCGGGGUUAUACCUUCGAAGCGUCCAUUUCGGGGCGGUUCAAAAUCGUCAAGGGAAGUAGUCGUUCACGGGACGUAGGGGAAGUAGUUGUACU
Molecule: long non-coding RNA, 2408 nt
Filed under: Triticum aestivum (bread wheat)
Lineage: Eukaryota; Viridiplantae; Streptophyta; Magnoliopsida; Poales; Poaceae
Description: long non-coding RNA (TAES_LNC016513)
Source: RNAcentral